CCUACGGGAGGAGGCAGCANUGGGGAAUANUGCGCAAUGGGGGAAACCCUGACGCAGCGACGCCGCGUGAGCGAAGAAGGCCUUAGGGUUGUAAAGCUCUGUUUUAGGGGACGAAUGUUUACCUGAGUAAUAUGCGGGUAAAAUGACNGUACCCUAAGAGGAAGCCCCGGCUAACUACGUGCCAGCANANNCGGUAAU
This 198-nucleotide ribosomal RNA is filed under the name uncultured Bacillota bacterium. Its description in RNAcentral is "uncultured Firmicutes bacterium partial 16S ribosomal RNA". It matches the Rfam family "Bacterial small subunit ribosomal RNA", at positions 338 to 524 of the family's 1533-position model. The record is from RNAcentral. Lineage: Bacteria; Bacillati; Bacillota.